This 361-nucleotide long non-coding RNA is filed under the name Stegodyphus dumicola. Its description in RNAcentral is "uncharacterized LOC118205771, transcript variant X4". Lineage: Eukaryota; Metazoa; Arthropoda; Arachnida; Araneae; Eresidae. The record is from RNAcentral.
UCGAGUGAGCACUACGUUAAAAGAUGAAAACCGUUCUGUGCAUUCUCUUGGUUCUAACCAUCUUCAUCGCUACUUCUGAAGCUGGCCUUUGUAAUUGGAUAUGCAGAAAAGUAUGCAGCACUGCGAAUCACUGUGAGACACUUUGCACCCUGCUGUGCACAGAUCCCGUUUCAGUGAAAACUUAUCGCUUCCCGGGUGCUUAAAGUAGGAGUGAUGAAGUCAAUUCAUUCGUAAUUGUCUGUCGUAAAAAAAUAUUUAAACACAAAAUUUACCGAAACUUUGAAUAUGUAUUGUACAGUGAUCAACAGUAAUUCAACACAACUUUGUAAUUAAUAAAGGAGUUUCUUUUGAGAAGACGUAA